RNAcentral lists this ribosomal RNA (460 nucleotides) under uncultured bacterium. RNAcentral's name for it is "partial 16S ribosomal RNA". It matches the Rfam family "Bacterial small subunit ribosomal RNA", at positions 338 to 795 of the family's 1533-position model. The record is from RNAcentral.
CCUACGGGUGGCAGCAGUGAGGAAUAUUGGUCAAUGGACGCGAGUCUGAACCAGCCAAGUAGCGUGAAGGAUGACUGCCCUACGGGUUGUAAACUUCUUUUAUACAGGAAUAAAGUGAGUCACGUGUGCCUUUUUGUAUGUACCUUAUGAAUAAGGACCGGCUAACUCCGUGCCAGCAGCCGCGGUAAUACGGAGGAUCCGAGCGUUAUCCGGAUUUAUUGGGUUUAAAGGGAGCGUAGGUGGGUUGUUAAGUCAGUUGUGAAAGUUUGCGGCUCAACCGUAAAAUUGCAGUUGAUACUGGCAGUCUUGAGUACAGUAGAGGUAGGCGGAAUUCGUGGUGUAGCGGUGAAAUGCUUAGAUAUCACGAAGAACUCCGAUUGCGAAGGCAGCUUACUAAACUGCUACUGACACUGAGGCUCGAAAGUGUGGGUAUCAAACAGGAUUAGAUACCCUGGUAGUC